RNAcentral lists this non-coding RNA (28 nucleotides) under Mus musculus (house mouse). Lineage: Eukaryota; Metazoa; Chordata; Mammalia; Rodentia; Muridae. The record is from RNAcentral.
UCAGAGAAUCGGCUUCCUGUGUCUGAGC